RNAcentral lists this ribosomal RNA (517 nucleotides) under uncultured delta proteobacterium. RNAcentral's name for it is "bacterial SSU rRNA". It matches the Rfam family "Bacterial small subunit ribosomal RNA", at positions 29 to 523 of the family's 1533-position model. The record is from RNAcentral. Lineage: Bacteria; Deltaproteobacteria.
AACGAACGCUGGCGGCGUGCUUAACACAUGCAAGUCGCGCGCGAAAGGGCUUCGGCUUGAGUAGAGCGGCGCACGGGUGAGUAACACGUGAGUAACCUACCCUCUGGCGGGGGAAUAAUCGGUCGAAAGAUCGUCUAAUACCGCAUAAGACCACGGGAACUUUGGUUCCAGGGGUUAAAGAUGGCCUCUAUAUAUAUGCUAUCACCAGAAGAUGGGCUCGCGGCGCAUCAGCUAGUUGGUGAGGUAACGGCUCACCAAGGCGUAGACGCGUAGCUGGUCUGAGAGGAUGAUCAGCCACACCGGUACUGAGACACGGACCGGACACCUACGGGUGGCAGCAGUGGGGAAUAUUGGACAAUGGGCGCAAGCCUGAUCCAGCAACGCCGCGUGAGUGACGAAGGCUUUCGGGUCGUAAAGCUCUGUGGGGAGAAACGAAUAGGCUCCGUGCUAAUCAGCGGGGAAUUGACGGUAUCUCCUUAGCAAGCACCGGCUAACUACGUGCCAGCAGCCGCGGUAA